This 504-nucleotide ribosomal RNA is filed under the name uncultured bacterium. RNAcentral describes it as "partial 16S ribosomal RNA". It matches the Rfam family "Bacterial small subunit ribosomal RNA", at positions 28 to 523 of the family's 1533-position model. The record is from RNAcentral.
GAUGAACGCUGGCGGCAGGCCUAACACAUGCAAGUCGGGCGGUAACACAGGGAGCUUGCUCCUGGGUGACGAGCGGCGGACGGGUGAGUAAUGUCUGGGAAACUGCCUGAUGGAGGGGGAUAACUACUGGAAACGGUAGCUAAUACCGCAUAACGUCGCAAGACCAAAGGGGGGGACCUUCGGGCCUCUUGCCAUCAGAUGUGCCCAGAUGGGAUUAGCUAGUAGGGGGGGUAAUGGCUCACCUAGGCGACGAUCCCUAGCUGGUCUGAGAGGAUGACCAGCCACACUGGAACUGAGACACGGUCCAGACUCCUACGGGAGGCAGCAGUGGGGAAUAUUGCACAAUGGGCGCAAGCCUGAUGCAGCCAUGCCGCGUGUGUGAAGAAGGCCUUCGGGUUGUAAAGCACUUUCAGCGAGGAGGAAGGCGGUGAGGUUAAUAACCUCAUCGAUUGACGUUACUCGCAGAAGAAGCACCGGCUAACUCCGUGCCAGCAGCCGCGGUAA